UUCACAUUCACGGUCGAAUAAGGCGCAUGAAAAUGAGUUCCAGUUACUUUUUCAAAGUCUUUCUACUUGACACUGCGGUCGCCGUUUGCCAGGCCGGAAUCGUAUCAGCAAACUCUCUGGGAAAAGUCGAAACAAAAGAUGCUUGUCCUGGAUUUCUGCAAGGCAACACUGCAGUACCUUGCUGGCCCUUGAACGGAAAGUCUUUUCAAAAACAAAGCACUCCAACUGGUUGGAUGCCGAUAAAUUCUGUAGGGUAGGCGGGAUGACUCUGUUGAGCCUAGAAAGUAAAGAAGAGGAUCAAAUGAUUAACAACUACAUCAAAUCCACAUCAGGCAUCACUGUUACCGAUUGUGAAAGAAUAUCACAGACUAGCUUCAAUGAAACAAAUUUGGAUCUAAUGGAUAUCUGAACAGAAGCAGGGAUUCUUUAGUAAGGGAAAAUUCUGUGAUUUAACAAGCAUUUUUUAGGUAAAAUAAAACUGUGCCAUUUCUCAUACCUAUUAACGGGUACACAACAUUAUGAUAAGAUUCAAUUCAAGCCAGAACUGUAAGCCAAAACGUUCUCACAGGAGAUGAGAGUUUGCCAAUCAACACACCAUCUAAUUCUAAAAUCAAAAGCAAAGCUUUUAAUAUUCCAUGCGAUGAUUGUUGGUAAAUGUAUGAUGUGCAAACUUAUUCACGAGGUUUCUAUCCAGCACUAAUCCAGCAUACCUAAAAUAUUACAGAUAAGACAUUAAAA
Long non-coding RNA from Daphnia pulicaria, 738 nucleotides. RefSeq lists it as uncharacterized. NCBI's taxonomy places the organism in Eukaryota, Metazoa, Arthropoda, Branchiopoda, Diplostraca, Daphniidae. The transcript is spliced from 4 exons. The record is from RefSeq and is a predicted model, not a curated record.